Orbicella faveolata is the source of this 552-nucleotide long non-coding RNA. Lineage: Eukaryota; Metazoa; Cnidaria; Anthozoa; Scleractinia; Merulinidae. The record is from RefSeq and is a predicted model, not a curated record.
CGUUGAAAGAGCAUUGAAAAUUUGCAUUUAUAUACAUCAAAUAACCGAUAUGUUUUCAUAAUUUAUGUUAGGUUGCAGUGCUGGCCAAUAGUACAGAAUACCAGCAUGCUCUUGAGGAAGAUGCUAAACCAACAGAGUAUUCCAGAAUUGACGACGUCAUUCAAGCUGUGAAAUCAAAGGAAGUAGAUGGAAUGUUACUGGACCGCUUCACAGCUUCCUAUUACCAGUCAAGAGGCAAACUGAAAUCGCUUCUCACAGUCAAGAAGCUAGAACUUCAAAGGGACACUGGAGCUCUGUUUUCAAAGGAUAGAGAGGAACUGGCACGGUGCUUAAAUCUUCUCCGUUCAAACAUUUUGAAGUCAGUUCAAACCUUUACCGCUACAUAUAAGCUAACAGAGCAGAAGCCUCCAAGAAACGUCAACCUGUUUGAUGUGUCAUCCCCCUUCAUUAAGGAAUUCAUGUACGUAUCAUUUGGCAUCUUAGCCGGAUUGCUCCUGAUUGGAACCCUUUGGGACAUCCUUAUUAGAAAGAAGGGAAGGAUUAAACAGAAUA